RNAcentral lists this ribosomal RNA (402 nucleotides) under uncultured bacterium. Its description in RNAcentral is "partial 16S ribosomal RNA". It matches the Rfam family "Bacterial small subunit ribosomal RNA", at positions 355 to 774 of the family's 1533-position model. The record is from RNAcentral.
UGGGGAAUAUUGGACAAUGGGCGAAAGCCUGAUCCAGCCAUGCCGCAUGAGUGAAGAAGGCCUUUGGGUUGUAAAGCUCUUUUAGUGAGGAAGAUAAUGACGGUACUCACAGAAGAAGUCCUGGCUAACUCCGUGCCAGCAGCCGCGGUAAUACGGAGAGGGCUAGCGUUAUUCGGAAUUAUUGGGCGUAAAGGGCGCGUAGGUUGGUUAAUAAGUUAAAAGUGAAAUCCCGAGGCUUAACCAUGGAAUUGCUUUUAAAACUAUUAAUCUAGAGAUUGAAAGAGGAUAGAGGAAUUCCUGAUGUAGAGGUAAAAUUCGUAAAUAUUAGGAGGAACACCAGUGGCGAAGGCGUCUAUCUGGUUCAAAUCUGACGCUGAAGCGCGAAGGCGUGGGGAGCAAACA